Molecule: ribosomal RNA, 888 nt
Filed under: uncultured bacterium
Lineage: Bacteria
Description: bacterial SSU rRNA
Rfam family: Bacterial small subunit ribosomal RNA
Source: RNAcentral
AGAGUUUGAUCAUGGCUCAGAAUCAACGCUGGCGGCGUGCCUAACACAUGCAAGUCGAACGCGAAAGCCCCGCAAGGGGUAAGUAGAGUGGCAAACGGGUGAGUAACACGUGGGUGACCUGCCUUCGAGCGGGGGAUAACGUCCCGAAAGGGACGCUAAUACCGCAUAACAUCCUGCCUUUGAAGAGGCGGUGAUCAAAGCUGGGGAUCGCAAGACCUAGCACUCGAAGAGGGGCCCGCGCCCGAUUAGCUAGUUGGUGAGGUAACGGCUCACCAAGGCAACGAUCGGUAGCCGGCCUGAGAGGGCGGACGGCCACACUGGGACUGAGACACGGCCCAGACUCCUACGGGAGGCAGCAGUGGGGAAUUGUUCGCAAUGGGCGCAAGCCUGACGACGCAACGCCGCGUGGAGGAUGAAGAUCUUCGGGUCGUAAACUCCUUUCGAUCGAGACGAAUUCCUUCGGGGUGAACAAUCCCGGAGGUUGACGGUACCGAGAGAAGAAGCCCCGGCUAACUCCGUGCCAGCAGCCGCGGUAAUACGGGGGGGGCAAGCGUUGUUCGGAAUUACUGGGCGUAAAGGGCUCGUAGGUGGCCAACUAAGUCAGACGUGAAAUCCCUCGGCUUAACCGGGGAACUGCGUCUGAUACUGGUUGGCUUGAGUUUGGGAGAGGGAUGCGGAAUUCCAGGUGUAGCGGUGAAAUGCGUAGAUAUCUGGAGGAACACCGGUGGCGAAGGCGGCAUCCUGGACCAACACUGACGCUGAGGAGCGAAAGCCAGGGGAGCAAACGGGAUUAGAUACCCCGGUAGUCCUGGCCCUAAACGAUGAAUGCUUGGUGUGGCGGGUAUCGAUCCCUGCCGUGCCGAAGCUAACGCAUUAAGCAUUCCGCCU